RNAcentral lists this unclassified non-coding RNA (347 nucleotides) under soil metagenome. RNAcentral describes it as "partial contains 5.8S ribosomal RNA, internal transcribed spacer 2, and large subunit ribosomal RNA". The stretch from base 1 to 120 matches the Rfam family "5.8S ribosomal RNA", at positions 35 to 154 of the family's 154-position model. The record is from RNAcentral.
GAUGAAGAACGUAGCGAAAUGCGAUAAGUAAUGUGAAUUGCAGAAUUCAGUGAAUCAUCGAGUCUUUGAACGCACAUUGCGCCCCCUGGUAUUCCGGGGGGCAUGUCUGUCCGAGCGUCAUUGCUGCCCUCAAGCACGGCUUGUGUGUUGGGCCGUCGUCCCCCUCCUAGGGGACGGGCCCGAAAGGCAGCGGCGGCACCGCGUCCGGUCCUCGAGCGUAUGGGGCUUCGUCACCCGCUCCGUAGGCCCGGCCGGCGCUUGCCGACGACCAUCAAUCUCUUUCUCCAGGUUGACCUCGGAUCAGGUAGGGAUACCCGCUGAACUUAAGCAUAUCAAUAAGCGGAGGA